ACAUAAACGUUGAAAAGAUAAGUACAAUUUUAGGUCUUAACAAGAGAGCUCGUGGUUGGUGAAAGCGAGUAAGAUAUGUCGUUGGAAAAUGGUCUUGGAGUUUCAUGGAUACGAGCCAGCGCGUACUCAUAUGUACGGCGCAGUGAGUUGAAAUCGGUAGUGCUCGUUAACGCACAACGUAUAACCUGGAAGUUUUCACAGAUGUUCUCGACGAUUUCUAACGGGCGUACGUUAAGGUGUGGGCGCGAGAGCCCUGCAUGAACACCGGGUGGUAACACGUUAUUGAAGCGUCCCGUAA
This 298-nucleotide unclassified non-coding RNA is filed under the name Leuconostoc gasicomitatum. Its description in RNAcentral is "Leuconostoc gelidum subsp. gasicomitatum T-box". Lineage: Bacteria; Bacillati; Bacillota; Bacilli; Lactobacillales; Lactobacillaceae. The record is from RNAcentral.